Molecule: ribosomal RNA, 253 nt
Filed under: uncultured bacterium
Lineage: Bacteria
Description: partial 16S ribosomal RNA
Rfam family: Bacterial small subunit ribosomal RNA
Source: RNAcentral
UACAGAGGGUGCGAGCGUUAAUCGGAAUUACUGGGCGUAAAGCGCGCGUAGGCGGCUUUGCAAGUCGGGUGUGAAAUCCCCAGGCUUAACCUGGGAACUGCAUUCGAGACUGCAUUGCUAGAGUAUGGGAGAGGGAAGUGGAAUUUCCGGUGUAGCGGUGAAAUGCGUAGAUAUCGGAAGGAACAUCAGUGGCGAAGGCGGUUCUCUGGGCCUGACCUGACGCUGAGGAGCGAAAGCGUGGGGAGCGAACAGG